UUCUUAGAUCCAUCAUCUUCAUCGCCUCCAUGCUUCCGAUAAUCAGUGACCAAAAUCAAUGGUUGUCAUAAGCGGCCAACUCAAAGUAAAUAAUAUUUUGGACAAGAGUUUGCAUCUAAUUGCUGACAAUUAUCAAGAGUUGGAAGUGUUCAAUUUGAUGAGGUAUAACAGGUCUAUACCGUGGAAUUGUGAGUAAUAUUGCUUCUUCAGCACCAAUUUCUAUGGUUUACACCUUCACAUACGAAUCAAUUAAGGGAGCGAUGUUGCCCCUCUUGACAAAGGUGAUCUUGCAUGUUGAGUUUUGGGAUGGUCUUUCUGUCAUAACAAGUGUCUGAUUUGCUUGCAUUUAGGAGCCUUCGC
Molecule: long non-coding RNA, 360 nt
Organism: Magnolia sinica
Lineage: Eukaryota; Viridiplantae; Streptophyta; Magnoliopsida; Magnoliales; Magnoliaceae
Exons: 3
Source: RefSeq, a predicted model, not a curated record